UGUCUAAGCGACAGAUUCGAACCUUCAAAAUGGUAAGGUGGAGCUAAAUGGAAGUCUAUGUCUGUAUCUGUAAGAUCUCUUCAUGAAAUCGAGUUAAUUCAGUUCCAUGCUUUAUUGAAGGCACUUGUUUGAAAUUGUUGUUGUGUGUUUGUUUGUGAGUAGGAGAAAGCUCCUUAUGUUGCUAAGGCUGCCACUAAGAAACAAGAAUUGUUGAUUUUGUCAUUGCUCUGUUCCGAGUAGACUUCACUGGAAGAGGAGAACUUGCAGAGCGCCAGUGAUAGCUGAUCCCGGUGGUGGGGUAUUCAUAUCAGAUUAAAAAAAAACAGCAGGAGGGCAUGUUCUUGCUCAUGCAGCAACUGUGAGAUUGAUGUUUAGGAAGGGCAAGGGGGAAUAGUGUGUCUGCAAAGUGUUUGAUGCACCGAAUCUGCCCGAGUCAUAAAAGUAUACAUAUACAGUAAUAAAAUUAUAUUCAUUACUUUAAAAUAAGCAGAUUAGUAUCUGGUUAUUUCUUCAAAGCAUGUAAGAACUCUAAUACAAGCCAAUUCAAAUGCCGUGAAGCUCAGUUGUGAACUUCUG
Erigeron canadensis is the source of this 576-nucleotide long non-coding RNA. RefSeq lists it as uncharacterized. The record is from RefSeq and is a predicted model, not a curated record. The transcript has 4 exons. NCBI's taxonomy places the organism in Eukaryota, Viridiplantae, Streptophyta, Magnoliopsida, Asterales, Asteraceae.